GACGAACGCUGGCGGCGUGCUUAACACAUGCAAGUCGAACGGGCCUGUCUUCUUUUUUGGGGGGUGGGUUGAGUGGCGAACGGGUGAGUAUCACGUGAGUAACCUGCCCUUCGGUCCUGGAUAACCGCUUGAAAGGGCGGCUAAUACGGGGUGGUCCGGUUGGUCCGCAUGGGCUGGUCGGGAUAGAUUCACUGUUUUUGGUGUUUCGGCGGGGGAUGGGCUCGCGGCCUAUCAGCUUGUUGGUGGGGUGAUGGCCUACCAAGGCGGUGACGGGUAGCCGGCCGGAGGGGGUGGGGGGCCAGACGGGGACUGGGAUACGGCCCAGACUCCUGCGGGAGGCAGCAGUGGGGGGGAUUGCAGUAGGGGCGGAAGCCUGAUGCAGCGACGUCGCGUGAGGGAUGGAGGCCUUCGGGUUGUGAACCUCUGUUUCCGGUGGUGAAGGCCCUGUCCGUGUGGUGGGGUUGACGGUAGCCGGGGAUGAAGCGCCGGCUAACUACGUG
Molecule: ribosomal RNA, 500 nt
Filed under: uncultured bacterium
Lineage: Bacteria
Description: partial 16S ribosomal RNA
Rfam family: Bacterial small subunit ribosomal RNA
Source: RNAcentral